Triticum aestivum (bread wheat) is the source of this 125-nucleotide non-coding RNA. The record is from Rfam. Lineage: Eukaryota; Viridiplantae; Streptophyta; Magnoliopsida; Poales; Poaceae.
GAUCUACUCCCUCCGUCCGGAAAUACUUAUCGUAGAAAUGGGUACAAAUAGAUGUAUCUAAACCUAACAUACAUCUAGAUACAUCCAUUCCCAGGACAGGUAUUUCCGGACGGAGGGAGUAAUGU